This 253-nucleotide ribosomal RNA is filed under the name uncultured bacterium. RNAcentral's name for it is "partial 16S ribosomal RNA". It matches the Rfam family "Bacterial small subunit ribosomal RNA", at positions 524 to 776 of the family's 1533-position model. The record is from RNAcentral.
UACGGGGGGGGCAAGCGUUGUUCGGAAUUACUGGGCGUAAAGGGUUUGUAGGUGGCUUGCUAAGUCAGACGUGAAAUCCCUCAGCUUAACUGGGGAACUGCGUCUGAGACUGGCAAGCUCGAGUGCAGGAGAGGAACGCGGAAUUCCAGGUGUAGCGGUGAAAUGCGUAGAUAUCGGGAGGAACACCUGUGGCGAAAGCGGCGCACUGGACCACAACUGACGCUGAGGCGCGAAAGCUAGGGGAGCAAACAGG